UACGUAGGGUGCGAGCGUUAAUCGGAUUUACUGGGCGUAAAGCGUGCGCAGGCGGCCCGUUAAGACAGGUGUGAAAUCCCUGGGCUCAACCUAGGAAUUGCGCUUGUGACUGGCGGGCUCGAGUACGGUAGAGGGGGGUGGAAUUCCUGGUGUAGCAGUGAAAUGCGUAGAGAUCAGGAGGAACACCGAUGGCGAAGGCAGCCCCCUGGGCCUGUACUGACGCUCAUGCACGAAAGCGUGGGGAGCGAACGGG
This 253-nucleotide ribosomal RNA is filed under the name uncultured microorganism. Its description in RNAcentral is "partial 16S ribosomal RNA". It matches the Rfam family "Bacterial small subunit ribosomal RNA", at positions 524 to 776 of the family's 1533-position model. The record is from RNAcentral.